AGGACGAACGCUGGCGGCGUGCUUAACACAUGCAAGUCGAGCGGUGAUCCUCCUUCGGGAGGUGAGCAGCGGCGAACGGGUGAGUAACACGUGGGCAACCUGCCCCUCACACUGGGAUAACCUCGGGAAACCGGGGCUAAUACCGGAUACGACCUCGAGCGGCAUCUCUUGAGGUGGAAAGCUCCGACGGUGAGGGAUGGGCCCGCGGCCUAUCAGCUUGUUGGUGGGGUAAUGGCCUACCAAGGCGACGACGGGUAGCCGGCCUGAGAGGGCGACCGGCCACACUGGGACUGAGACACGGCCCAGACUCCUACGGGAGGCAGCAGUGGGGAAUAUUGCGCAAUGGGCGAAAGCCUGACGCAGCGACGCCGCGUGAGGGAUGAAGGCCUUCGGGUUGUAAACCUCUUUCAGCAGGGACGAAGCGAAAGUGACGGUACCUGCAGAAGAAGCACCGGCUAACUACGUGCCAGCAGCCGCGGUAA
This 482-nucleotide ribosomal RNA is filed under the name uncultured bacterium. Its description in RNAcentral is "SSU rRNA". It matches the Rfam family "Bacterial small subunit ribosomal RNA", at positions 26 to 523 of the family's 1533-position model. The record is from RNAcentral.